Molecule: long non-coding RNA, 3364 nt
Organism: Octopus bimaculoides (California two-spot octopus)
Lineage: Eukaryota; Metazoa; Mollusca; Cephalopoda; Octopoda; Octopodidae
Source: RefSeq, a predicted model, not a curated record
UGCCGGUAAUAAACACACGCACUGGUUCAGUCCUUUAUUAAUUUAAUUUAUAUAGUUUUUUGUUAAAUUAUUUCAUUGCACUCUUGCAAUCUCUUCAGUAACUUGUCUCUCCACUUCCAUUUAUUUUGAAUAUAUGAUCUGGCGUUGUUUUGGCGUUGUUUCGAAACUGUUUGGUAUGAGCAUGUGAGUGUGUGCAAGUUCGUAUGUGUGCACGCUCAUAUGUGUGCACGCACUUAUGUGUUCGUGCUUAUAUGUAAGUAUGUGCGUCCAUAUGUGUGUUUGUAACAAUUUCGUUUAUAUCAGAUCAGAUAGAGACUUUUUGAAAAACUAUCAACGAUUGAAUCAUUUUAUGUUCAUCAUUUUAUGUUCAUCAUGACAUGAAGAAGCUGUAAUGAAUACUCUAGAAACAAAUGAAAGAUAUGGAUUAGUAUUCCUGAAAGAAAAUUGUCUAGUUAUACUAAACUCAUGAAAGUCAUUUGACUUCGGCCAUGCUGGAGCACCACCUUUUUGUCGAAGAAAUUGUCCCCAGGACUUAUUCUUUGUAAGUCUGGUACUUAUUCUACAGGCUCCAGCUGCCAACAGGUUCCAGCAAGGAAGGAUUUUGUACACAAAGUAAAUCCCUUUUACACCAAACAGAAAAAUUCUUCAGGACGGUGGACUCCAAGUAUAGAACGUAAUCUCCACAAGAAUCGUCUUUGAUGGUGUGUUCACUUUGCUAGAGUAUAUAAUCAAUCUGUCUCGAAAUAACUAUUUUACUGCGAAAAUUUUCCUGAAUAUUGGCUCCUAUGCAAACCAAACGCUCGUUACGAUGACAGGCUAAAAAGUUCUCCAAAGGAAACAUGCCAGUCAAUGACUAGGAAGAACUGGAGCAUGACAGACCCCUUGGAGGAACAUUUAAUCUAAAACUGCCAAACAAAACGAAAUAGAAUAUAAGACCAAAAACUUAAACGUAUGCCUUGUGUAAAUGAAAAUAUUGAUAUCCCGUAAAAAGCAGAUUUUCAUGUGUAAGGUCUGUGAGAGAUUCUGCCUUUCUAAAUUAAGACUAGCUUGUCAUCUAAGAUCGCACAAAUCUACCUAAGCUACAGGUUACGAUAUGGGAAAUGCUGUCCUAUCCAAAAAACUGUGCUCUUGUUGCCCAUACUCUUGAAAAUAUUUGAAGAGUUAGAGACAGCUUCUUUGCUGCUAUGAAGAACUUUGGUCCCAUAAUCAUCAUAAAGAAAAUUGAAAUCAUGCAUCAAAGUAUACCUAGAGCUAGAUGCUUCCUGAGUAAUUUUGUGACCACUCUGGAUGCAAAUGACCAGUGUAGAUUCCAGAAAACUGGCUACAGGUUUCGAUAUCUUGUACAGAAUUGGCAAAGCAAUUUUUGCUUUUGAGGGUCAGGGAAAUUGGCUUUGGAAUGAUUUAGAUAUUUCACUACAUACGAUGAUUCAAAAUAUAAAACAGUUGUACUAAGUACACUAUUCUGUGGGAUAGAAUUAUAGACUCUAUCUAUUGUAUAGAUAGAUGAAAUAAUUUAACCGUUCCUAUCUUCAUUGUUUUCACAAAAUCUGAAAGCCAAAUGGCCGGACAUAAUACCCGAUACAAAAGUCAUAUCACGUCACAAAAUCAGUGGUAUUCAACUUUUACAAUUGAAACGUAAACUUCGUAGAUAUGGCGUUCGGGCUUCGAUACAAAACGAUUGCAUUCCCAAACCAAACUUUUACAGUCAGCUUAACAGAGAUAAGUAUUGUGCUGAAGAACAAAUGAAGGGAUUUAAAGAUUACUUGAGGCAAAAUUUGAUGAUGUGUCAUAUAAGUGAAGCCUGCGACUUCUGUUUCAGUUUCAGCGUUUAAUUGUGGUGACUGAUAAACUCUCUUCACAAAUGCCGUUGAAGCCCUUGUAGCGAAAAGAAUCUGAAAGGAUGCCCAAAGGCAGGAGUGGCUGUGUGGUAAGUAACUUGCUUACCAACCUCAUGGUUUCGGGUUCAGUCCCACUGCGUGGCACCUUGAGCAAGUGUCUUCUACUAUAGCCUCGGGCCGACCAAAGCCUUGUGAGUGGAUUUGGUAGACGGAAACUGAAAGAAGCCCGUCGUAUAUAUAUAUAUAUAUAUAUAUGUGUGUGUGUGUGUGUGUGUGUGUGUGUGUGUGUGUGUGUGUGUGUGUGUGUGUGUGUGUGUGUGUUUGUGUGUCUGUGUUUGUCCCCCACCAUCGCUUGACAACUGAUGUUGGUGUGUUUACGUUCCCGUAACUUAGCGGUUCGGCAAAAAGAGACUGAUAGAAUAAGUACUAGGCUUACAAAGAAUAAGUCCUGGGGUCGAUUUUCUCGACUAAAGGCGAUGCUCCAGCAUGGCCGCAGUCAAAUGACUGAAACAAUUAAAAGAGUAAAGGAACCAAAAUUGAUUUCGAUGUCUUGUAGCUUUUUCUUCUUGGUCACUCAAAACUAUGACUUCCUAAUUCUUAGGUAGGCUUUUAUAUGUGUAUUUAUGUAUGUAUGUAUGUAUGUAUGCAUGUUAACAUCCUCGUUCUGGCCUAUAUUAGCCAUAUAGACUCAAUUGUUGAGCGUCAAGAGGAAGGUUGCAUCACAAAUAUUUUUCCAGUGACCAAUUUACAACAGUGUAAAUGGUGAAUUACACACAAUCACUAAUAUAAAUAACAGUGGGAAUUUUUUCUUUUUCUAAUGGAUAAAAUAGAGUUCUGAAAACUUAUCGCUGCUAUUAUGUUAAACUGUCGUAUGUCAAAAUUUGGCCAAAUGCGUUUUUUCUUUUUGUUAAUUUUUAUUUUUGCUUGCAAUAGCCGGUACUUUCGGUCAAACUAUCAUAUCUCCAGCUGCUUCAGAUACCAAGAUAUGAAAAAUUGUCAAAGUGUACUACAACGGUUUUGCUAUGGAAUGAUGAGACAAUUUUUUCGUUUUCUGAAAAAGCAACGUUUUAGACUUACAACACAUUUGUAUUAUAAGAACGAUAUAUUUUCUCCGUUGCCUUAGUUACAAAUUAAUAGUUUCCUAAUAUUUUCCUCUGUUAUUAAUGCUAAAUAAAUAUUAUGCAAUUAGUUGUAUUUAAUUUAGUUGUGAGGUUUGAUCUGAGAGACUGCCUGAAAAAUAAACAUUUUUUUCUCCUAUUAUUUCGCAUUCAGUUCUUUUGUCUAAAUGAAGAGGCGCUAGUGGAAUCAUGUUUAGUUUGUGUUCAGAGUAUUAAUUAGCUUUAAUCACACCCUAUCUUUAGGGUAAUAAGUGUUAUGUACUAAGUGUCCUAAACAAGAAUACACUUCCCACGUUAGCAUCAGCAAAAACAUCGAAUUUUGGAUCCUAACUCAUUUGCGGUUCAUUGUUGUCCCUGUAGUCGAUGUUGUUGACGGCAAGAAAGUUUAUAAUGAUAAUACGUACGAUA